GCUAACUCCGUGCCAGCAGCCGCGGUAAUACGGAGGGGGUUAGCGUUGUUCGGAAUUACUGGGCGUAAAGCGCGCGUAGGCGGACCAGAAAGUUGGGGGUGAAAUCCCGGGGCUCAACCCCGGAACGGCCUCCAAAACUCCUGGUCUUGAGUUCGAGAGAGGUGAGUGGAAUUCCGAGUGUAGAGGUGAAAUUCGUAGAUAUUCGGAGGAACACCAGUGGCGAAGGCGACUCACUGGCUCGAUACUGACGCUGAGGUGCGAAAGUGUGGGGAGCAAACAGGAUUAGAUACCCUGGUAGUCCACACCGUAAACGAUGAAUGCCAGUCGUCGGCGCGCAUGCGUGUCGGUGACACACCUAACGGAUUAAGCAUUCCGCCUGGGGAGUACGGUCGCAAGAUUAAAACUCAAAG
This 410-nucleotide ribosomal RNA is filed under the name uncultured Donghicola sp. RNAcentral describes it as "bacterial SSU rRNA". It matches the Rfam family "Bacterial small subunit ribosomal RNA", at positions 496 to 906 of the family's 1533-position model. The record is from RNAcentral. Lineage: Bacteria; Pseudomonadati; Pseudomonadota; Alphaproteobacteria; Rhodobacterales; Roseobacteraceae.